ACAAAUUCGGUGAAGCGGAGUAGUAACCACAGAUCCCUGUUGCAGAAAGUUGACGGCAGCUGCGAGUCAAUACGGGAGCAAGGUGAACUCGCCGCGGAGGAGCCGCGUCAAAAGCGCGGACGCAUAACCGGCGUUACAGGUUUUGAGUGGCCGAGAUUUUUUUUCGGCAAUCAGGGUGGUACCGCGAAAGCUAUUUCGUCCCUGGC
This 206-nucleotide non-coding RNA is filed under the name Phascolarctobacterium sp. RNAcentral describes it as "T-box sequence". It matches the Rfam family "T-box leader". Rfam says of the family: Uncharged tRNA acts as the effector for transcription antitermination of genes in the T-box leader family. T-boxes are found upstream of many aminoacyl-tRNA synthetase genes and some amino acid biosynthetic genes usually in Gram-positive bacteria. The record is from RNAcentral. Lineage: Bacteria; Bacillati; Bacillota; Negativicutes; Acidaminococcales; Acidaminococcaceae.